Molecule: non-coding RNA, 105 nt
Filed under: human gut metagenome
Description: FMN riboswitch (RFN element)
Rfam family: FMN riboswitch aptamer (RFN element)
About the family: The RFN element is a highly conserved domain that is found frequently in the 5'-untranslated regions of prokaryotic mRNAs that encode for flavin mononucleotide (FMN) biosynthesis and transport proteins. This element is a metabolite-dependent riboswitch that directly binds FMN in the absence of proteins.
Source: RNAcentral
AUCUUCAGGGCAGGGCGUAAUUCCCGACCGGCGGUAAAGUCCGCGAGCGCAAGCUGAACCGGUGUGAUUCCGGUACCGACAGUAUAGUCUGGAUGGAAGAAGAUG